This 253-nucleotide ribosomal RNA is filed under the name uncultured bacterium. RNAcentral's name for it is "partial 16S ribosomal RNA". It matches the Rfam family "Bacterial small subunit ribosomal RNA", at positions 524 to 776 of the family's 1533-position model. The record is from RNAcentral.
GACGAAGGAUGCAAGCGUUAUCCGGAUUCAUUGGGUUUAAAGGGAGCGUAGGUGGCCUUAUAAGUCAGUGGUGAAAUCCUGUUGCUUAACAGCAGAAUCGCCAUUGAUACUGUAGGGCUUGAGUAUAGUUGCCGUUGGCGGAAUAUGACAUGUAGUGGUGAAAUACAUAGAGAUGUCAUAGAACACCGAUUGCGAAGGCAGCUAACGAAACUAUAACUGACACUGAGGCUCGAAAGUGCGGGGAUCAAACAGG